AGAGUUUGAUCAUGGCUCAGGAUGAACGCUGGCGGCGUGCUUAACACAUGCAAGUCGAACGGGAAACCUUUUAAAGAAGCUUCGGCAGAUUUAGCUGGUUUCUAGUGGCGGACGGGUGAGUAACGCGUGGGUAACCUGCCUUGUACAGGGGGAUAACAGUCAGAAAUGACUGCUAAUACCGCAUAAGCGCACAGGACCGCAUGGUCCGGUGUGAAAAACUCCGGUGGUAUAAGAUGGACCCGCGUUGGAUUAGCUAGUUGGUGGGGUAACGGCCUACCAAGGCGACGAUCAGUAGGGGUUCUGAGAGGAAGGUCCCCCANAUUGGAACUGAGACACGGUCCAAACUCCUACGGGAGGCA
Molecule: ribosomal RNA, 359 nt
Filed under: uncultured bacterium
Lineage: Bacteria
Description: bacterial SSU rRNA
Rfam family: Bacterial small subunit ribosomal RNA
Source: RNAcentral